Molecule: ribosomal RNA, 742 nt
Filed under: uncultured bacterium
Lineage: Bacteria
Description: bacterial SSU rRNA
Rfam family: Bacterial small subunit ribosomal RNA
Source: RNAcentral
AGAGUUUGAUCCUGGCUCAGAGCGAACGCUGGCGGCAUGCUUAACACAUGCAAGUCGCACGGUCAGCAAUGGCAGUGGCGGACGGGUGAGUAACACGUAGGAAUCUAUCCCGGGGUGGGGGACAACAGUGGGAAACUACUGCUAAUACCGCAUGAUACCUGAGGGUCAAAGGCGCAAGUCGCCUUGGGAGGAGCCUGCGUCUGAUUAGCUUGUUGGUGGGGUAAAGGCCUACCAAGGCGACGAUCAGUAGCUGGUCUGAGAGGAUGAUCAGCCACAUUGGGACUGAGACACGGCCCAAACUCCUACGGGAGGCAGCAGUGGGGAAUAUUGGACAAUGGGGGAAACCCUGAUCCAGCAAUGCCGCGUGUGUGAAGAAGGUCUUCGGAUUGUAAAGCACUUUUGGCAGGGACGAUGAUGACGGUACCUGCAGAAUAAGCCCCGGCUAACUUCGUGCCAGCAGCCGCGGUAAUACGAAGGGGGCUAGCGUUGCUCGGAAUGACUGGGCGUAAAGGGCGCGUAGGCGGCGUACACAGUCAGAAGUGAAAUUCCUGGGCUCAACCUGGGGACUGCUUUUGAUACGUGUGUGCUAGAGUGAGGAAGAGGGUUGUGGAAUUUCCAGUGUAGAGGUGAAAUUCGUAGAUAUUGGAAAGAACACCGGUGGCGAAGGCGGCAACCUGGUCCUUUACUGACGCUGAGGCGCGAAAGCGUGGGGAGCAAACAGGAUUAGAUACCCUAGUAGUCC